CCCUUAGAUGUCCUGGGCCGCACGCGCGUUACACUGAUGCAUUCAACGAGCUUAUAACCUUGGCCGAGAGGCCUGGGCAAUCUUGUUAACGUGCAUCGUGAUAGGGAUAGAUUAUUGAAAUUAUUAAUCUUGAACGAGGAAUUCCUAGUAAGCGCGAGUCAUCAGCUCGCGCUGAUUACGUCCCUGCCCUUUGUACACACCGCCCGUCGCUACUACCGAUUGGAUGGUUUAGCGAGAGCCUUGGAUUGGAGCCCAGGUGGUCGGCAACGGCCGCUCGGGAUGCCGAGAAAUUGCUCCAGCUGACUCAUCUAGAGGAAGUAAAAGUCGUAACA
This 332-nucleotide ribosomal RNA is filed under the name uncultured eukaryote. Its description in RNAcentral is "partial 18S ribosomal RNA". It matches the Rfam family "Eukaryotic small subunit ribosomal RNA", at positions 1470 to 1796 of the family's 1831-position model. The record is from RNAcentral.